CAUGCAAGUCGACCGGUGCAGCAAUGCACAGUGGCGCACGGGUGCGUAACACGUAGGUACCUACCCUUUUUCCGGGGGAUACCGAUGGGAAACCCAUGCUAAUACCGCAUGAGACAGUAGCUGGGCAUCUGGCAGCUUGUUAAAGAUUUAUUGGUAGAAGAUGGGCCUGCGGCUGAUUAGGUAGUUGGUGGGGUAAGAGCCCACCAAGCCCAUGAUCAGUAGGGGUUCUGAGAGGAAGAUCCCCCACACUGGCACUGAGAUACGGGCCAGACUCCUACGGGAGGCAGCAGUAGGGAAUAUUGGGCAAUGGCGGAAACGCUGACCCAGCCAUGCCGCGUGCAGGAAGAAGGCGCUCAGCGUUGUAAACUGCUUUUGCCCGGGAAGAAUGAUCGCUACGUGUAGCGGGAGUGACGGUACCGGGUGAAUAAGCACCGGC
This 436-nucleotide ribosomal RNA is filed under the name uncultured bacterium. Its description in RNAcentral is "partial 16S ribosomal RNA". It matches the Rfam family "Bacterial small subunit ribosomal RNA", at positions 54 to 497 of the family's 1533-position model. The record is from RNAcentral.